CUAGCUUGGAGGACCUAAGAGGCGCGGCCGGGGCCACGCCCCGGGCGGGAGGGCCGCUCUGUGCGCGCCCGCUCUAUGAUGCUUGCGCGCGUCCCCCGCGCGCCGCUCUGCGGGCGGGGCGGGUCUCCGGGAUUCCAAGGGCUCGGUUACGGAAGAAGCGCAGAGCCGGCUGGGGAGGGGGCUGGAUGCGCGCGCACCCGGGGGGAGGCCGCUGCUGCCCGGAGCAGGAGGAGGGGGAGAGCGCGGCGGGCGGCAGCGGCGCUGGCGGCGACUCCGCCAUAGAGCAGGGGGGCCAGGGCAGCGCGCUCGCUCCGUCCCCGGUGAGCGGCGUGCGCAGGGAAGGCGCUCGGGGCGGCGGCCGUGGCCGGGGGCGGUGGAAGCAGGCGGCCCGGGGCGGCGGCGUCUGUGGCCGUGGCCGUGGCCGUGGCCGGGGUCGGGGCCGUGGCCGGGGCCGGGGCCGGGGCCGCGGCCGUCCCCAGAGUGGCGGCAGCGGCCUUGGCGGCGACGGCGGCGGCGGCGCGGGCGGCUGCGGCGGCGGCAGCGGUGGCGGCGUCGCCCCCCGGCGGGAUCCUGUCCCUUUCCCGUCGGGGAGCUCGGGGCCGGGGCCCAGGGGACCCCGGGCCACGGAGAGCGGGAAGAGGAUGGACUGCCCGGCCCUCCCCCCCGGAUGGAAGAAGGAGGAAGUGAUCCGAAAAUCAGGGCUCAGUGCUGGCAAGAGCGAUGUCUACUACUUCAGUCCAAGUGGUAAGAAGUUCAGAAGUAAACCUCAGCUGGCAAGAUACCUGGGAAAUGCUGUUGACCUUAGCAGUUUUGACUUCAGGACCGGCAAGAUGAUGCCUAGUAAAUUACAGAAGAACAAGCAGAGACUCCGGAAUGACCCCCUCAAUCAGAACAAGGGUAAACCAGACCUGAACACAACAUUGCCAAUUAGACAAACUGCAUCAAUUUUCAAGCAACCAGUAACCAAAUUCACGAACCACCCGAGCAAUAAGGUGAAGUCAGACCCCCAGCGGAUGAAUGAACAACCACGUCAGGUGAGCCAGGAAAACAGAAGAUGUGUGGAGCCACAUUGGAUCAGCAUCUUGCUAUAGAUGUCUCAAGAUUUGAAGUUCUAAACUUGCUUUACUGUUGGUCCCCAAGAGAUUCAACAGGGGCCAUCUUUUCUGGGAGAAGAGGCUACAAGGACUUAGCGCAUCAGAUGUAACAGAACAAAUUAUAAAAACCAUGGAGCUACCUAAAGGUCUUCAAGGAGUCGGUCCAGGUAGCAAUGACGAGACCCUUCUGUCUGCUGUGGCCAGUGCUUUACACACAAGCUCUGCGCCCAUCACAGGACAAGUCUCUGCUGCCGUGGAAAAGAACCCUGCUGUUUGGCUUAACACAUCUCAACCCCUCUGCAAAGCUUUCAUUGUUACAGAUGAAGACAUUAGGAAACAGGAAGAGCGAGUCCAACAAGUACGCAAGAAACUGGAGGAGGCACUGAUGGCCGACAUCCUGUCCCGGGCUGCGGACACGGAGGAAGUAGACAUUGACAUGGACAGUGGAGAUGAGGCGUAAGAAUAUGAUCAGGUAACUUUCGACUGACCUUCCCCAAGAGCAAAUUGCUAGAAACAGAAUUAAAACAUUUCCACUGGGUUUCGCCUGUAAGAAAAAGUGUACCUGAGCACAUAGCUUUUUAAUAGCACUAACCAAUGCCUUUUUAGAUGUAUUUUUGAUGUAUAUAUCUAUUAUUCCAAAUGAUGUUUAUUUUGAAUCCUAGGACUUAAAAUGAGUCUUUUAUAAUAGCAAGCAGGGCCCUUCCGGUGCAGUGCAGCUUUGAGGCCAGGUGCAGUCUACUGGAAAGGUAGCACUUACGUGAAAUAUUUGUUUCCCCCACAGUUUUAAUAUAAACAGAUCAGGAGUACCAAAUAAGUUUCCCAAUUAAAGAUUAUUAUACUUCACUGUAUAUAAACAGAUUUUUAUACUUUAUUGAAAGAAGAUACCUGUACAUUCUUCCAUCAUCACUGUAAAGACAAAUAAAUGACUAUAUUCACAGACUGAUUGGAACUUCUUUUGUUAAAGAUUACACACAAAUGGAGCCCCUGGAGAGUGUCCUGCUACACGUUCAGCUUUGACCCGGGCCCUUAGUGUGGAAUUGGAGGUGACAGGAAGUCGCUGGCGUGUUGCAGUGAGCCUGCAGGCUUCUCAGAGUGAGGGCGCUGAUUGCCCCAGAAGCUGCACUUUGGCUUCUGGCACACAGCUUUCCUCUCUUACCCAUGACUAGUACUUUGGAUAGUGCUCCAUAGUGAGGCUCUCAUGUGACAUGAGUUAGGUUUACAAGGACCCUGUAGGUGGUGUCUGAAGCUCCUCUUGUUUUGACUAGAACUAUUUUCCUUUCUAGUGUCCACUAGCUGACUAAGGCAGUAGAGCACGCCAGAUCUGUUGCCACCCUGAGAGGCGGCCUCUUAAGACGUAGCUUCAUGGACCAGAGCGUGAUACUUUGCUAACGAGCAACGUUUUCUUCUGUUAGAAGCGCUAAGCCUAACUUUCUGACCACUUAAAUUGCUUGAUAUUUAUUUACUAUAACUGCCAUUGAAUUACCCGAUGAGUUUUUAAAAUGAAAACAUAUUUAAAUUGAUCAGAGCCAAAGACAAGAGGGAAUGACUAUAAAGAAAUUAAGGGAAAUCAUGAAAAGAGGAUCCAAAAUAAUGUGCUUUUUUAUAGGUACAGUCUAUGUGUCCGCGUGCUGGACCUGUGCUGUCUGGGUGUUCACUUUAAAUGAGCACACAUGCUGAGCUUGCUCGAGUCCCUACGUUCAGGUCUCAGCACCAAAAAAGAACAAAAUAAAAUUAGGCUCAAAGUAAUGUGGUCAAGGUUGUAACCACCUGUGUCCUUGCCACCUGUGUCCUUUAUCCCCAGGACCCCCAGUCCCUUCCUAUUCCCAGGGACAGUGAGUGGCUGGCUUCGGGCUGCUAUGGUUUUGGAACCGUGUUGCCAAACUGUAAAAGUCUGGAAUUUCCGAUCUGAUUACAUUCUUACAUGUGAGCCUUAGGCCCCCAGUUUUACCGAGACAGGCCUGCUGGCGGAUGUGCGGGCAGCUCUGCCUGCUCUGGGAGGAUGGUUGUCAGAGGAUCCUUGCUAGGGGCCCAUCCAAGUGACUCAGGCUGAGUGUGUUGCAGUGGAUAUUGCCAUCUCUUAAAGAGCUAGUCUGCUAUUAGAGUGGCUUCCACAAAGUUGUCCUCCUAUCCAAAGGAUGGCUAGCAUCAAUAGUAACUAUGGCUUCGGAUCUCAUGUCUUGUUCUUUUAGCAGCACAGUCCAAACCAUUUUACAAACUUCCCUACACACAUCUUUUGAAAGCAAACUGACCGCGUACGGUACGUACUACAAAGCUUUAGCAGUGUUACUCUGUAUACUUUGCUCAGGUAGAAAACAAGGUGUGAAAGCCCUCAGAACGUGGCCUCUUAGUGACCAUCACUCAAGGCUGAGAUACUCCAAAAUCAAAUUCAUCGUUUUAUCACCACAUACCCACCAUCAUCUUAGAUUCUUCUACUUGGGUCAAAGUUGACUUUGUUCAGAUGGACAAGGCAGAAAUACAGAAAUGAUGCAGGAUGCGGCUCAUCCCCUUGCUCGUAGCAUCUGUGAGUCAGUCCUGAUAGAAGUGCUGCCAUAGCCACACACCUCAGGCCCUUCCGUUCCACAGCCUCUAAGUUCACAGGACUCUUCUUUUCUCCCUCUGGACUAGGGAAUAGCUUUCUUUUUCUCAGUUCUGAUCCCUGUCCCUUCUCUUUCCUCUCUGUGUCCCCUGCUUUUUUUCCGACUUCCCCAGAUGCCUUUAAGUGCAGCCUCAAAUGUCAGAACGUGAAUUUUGCAGCCAGAGAGCCCAUGUCUCAUCCCAGUCUUGGCAUUCGUGGCUUGUCAGGGCCCUCGGUCUCCAUGAGUUUAUUCCUCCUCGGUGACACAGGAGUAACAAUACCUACCUCAUAUAGAGUUGUGAGGAUUCCGUGAGCUGUUGUUUGCGAGGUGUUCAGUACAGUUCCUGGCACUUAGUGGGUCAAUGCUGUCGCCGCCAUCUUUGUUGCUUCCAGGAGGUGCUCGUGCACAGUCCUGUCCGUGUGACUUUACCUCCAGUACUCGUUCCUCUGUAGAGGUCUGUGUUUGAUUUAUUGAUUCGUUGUCUCUUGAGUAGAAUGUGAGCUCCGUGAGAGCAAGGCUGUUUCCGGGUACAGCCGACACAGUGCCUAGACUAUGGCACGUCUUCAGACAGGUAGUAAGCACUCAUUCCUGUUUCCAAAAAAGGUGGGGGGAUGGAAGAAUAGUCAAAAGACUCUUCAUGGUCUCAUAAACAGCAGUCUCACCCUGUUACGAUCCCGCUGCCUUUCACUUCAAGAAAAGCCACACCACUCGCUCCUUUGAAAUUCCUCCGCUGUGCGCCUGGUCCCCCCCUUUUCCUGCCUGGCCACGUGGCGAGUUCCUGGCCACGGAUAAGUGUCAGCGCGGUGGCUGCCUCGCCCGUGGUGUUGCCUGCCCGGAUUUCUCCAGGCAGACACUCUUUCCAUUACCCAGGUUCUCACUGUCUUUUGUAAAUACCUCCGUGGAGGCAGUUUACUGUAUUGUUAAAAAAAAA
This is an RNA transcript of Mus musculus (house mouse), 4601 nucleotides long. It is a transcript of the gene named methyl-CpG binding domain protein 2, with no coding region annotated. NCBI's taxonomy places the organism in Eukaryota, Metazoa, Chordata, Mammalia, Rodentia, Muridae. The record is from RefSeq and is marked validated. The transcript is spliced from 8 exons.